GAAAAAUCAGCGGAAACUGGCGGUAUUUGAUCCGGUGGCCCAACAGUGGGAGAAUGUUCCGGUGCCUCUGACCGGAAGCUCGACUAUAGGGUUUCGUUUCGGGAUACUCGAUGGCAAACUCUUGCUGUUCUCUGUUGAGGAAGAAUCUGGAUAUCAGACCUUGUUGUAUGAUCCUGAUGCUUCAGUGGGGUCGGAAUGGCGAACAUCUGAGCUUAAGCCUACUGGUUUGUGUCUGUGCACGGUGACAAUUACUGCUUGAAGUUCGUUCGCCUUGGCUGGGAUGCGUCUCA
This 290-nucleotide unclassified non-coding RNA is filed under the name Hevea brasiliensis (rubber tree). Lineage: Eukaryota; Viridiplantae; Streptophyta; Magnoliopsida; Malpighiales; Euphorbiaceae. The record is from RNAcentral.